UCCGAGUUGACCCCGGCAGUCUCCUAUGAGUCCCCACCAUCCCGAAGGACGUGCUGGCAACAUAGAACGAGGGUUGCGCUCGUUGCGGGACUUAACCCAACAUCUCACGACACGAGCUGACGACAGCCAUGCACCACCUGUACACCGACAAUAAAGGGGCCCCAUCUCUGGACGUUUCCGGUGUAUGUCAAGCCUUGGUAAGGUUCUUCGCGUUGCGUCGAAUUAAGCCACAUGCUCCGCCGCUUGUGCGGGUCCCCGUCAAUUCCUUUGAGUUUUAGCCUUGCGGCCGUACUCCCCAGGCGGGGUGCUUAAUGCGUUUGCGACGGCACGGAAGGGGUUGAUGCCUCCCACACCUAGCACCCAACGUUUACGGCUGGGACUAC
This 383-nucleotide unclassified non-coding RNA is filed under the name uncultured Actinomycetes bacterium. Its description in RNAcentral is "uncultured actinobacterium contains 16S-23S intergenic spacer region". Lineage: Bacteria; Bacillati; Actinomycetota; Actinomycetes. The record is from RNAcentral.